This 305-nucleotide ribosomal RNA is filed under the name uncultured bacterium. RNAcentral describes it as "bacterial SSU rRNA". It matches the Rfam family "Bacterial small subunit ribosomal RNA", at positions 338 to 658 of the family's 1533-position model. The record is from RNAcentral.
CCUACGGGGGGCAGCAGUGGGGAAUAUUGGGCAAUGGGCGCAAGCCUGACCCAGCAACGCCGCGUGAAGGAAGAAGGCUUUCGGGUUGUAAACUUCUUUUGACAGGGAAGAGCAGAAGACGGUACCUGUCGAAUAAGCCACGGCUAACUACGUGCCAGCAGCCGCGGUAAUACGUAGGUGGCAAGCGUUGUCCGGAUUUACUGGGUGUAAAGGGCGUGUAGCCGGGCUGACAAGUCAGAUGUGAAAUCCGGGGGCUCAACCCCCGAACUGCAUUUGAAACUGUUGGUCUUGAGUAUCGGAGAGGC